Pan troglodytes (chimpanzee) is the source of this 148-nucleotide non-coding RNA. It matches the Rfam family "Metazoan signal recognition particle RNA". From Rfam's summary of the family: The signal recognition particle (SRP) is a universally conserved ribonucleoprotein. It is involved in the co-translational targeting of proteins to membranes. NCBI's taxonomy places the organism in Eukaryota, Metazoa, Chordata, Mammalia, Primates, Hominidae. The record is from Rfam.
GCUGGGCACGGUGGUGGGUGCCUGUAAUCCCAGCUACCUGGGAGGCUGAGGCAGGAGAAUUGCUUGAACCUGGGAGGCUGAGGUUGCAGUGAGCCGAGAUCAUGCCACUGCACUCCAGCACAGGCAACACAGCGAGACUCCGUCUCAA